Long non-coding RNA from Balaenoptera musculus (blue whale), 396 nucleotides. RefSeq lists it as uncharacterized. Lineage: Eukaryota; Metazoa; Chordata; Mammalia; Artiodactyla; Balaenopteridae. The record is from RefSeq and is a predicted model, not a curated record. The transcript is spliced from 3 exons.
AAGACAUAAUUUGCCCAGCUUCUCUCAAGUGGCAAAGCUGUAGAGAAAGGUUUUGAACCCAAGUCGUUAGCCUCCAGAACCUGUGCUUUUAGCUACAGUGCAACUCUGCCUCAGGAGAAGCACAUCAAUCUUCGAUUUGAUAAUAACAAGAUCAUGCUGGCUACUGUGUGGACAGAAGGUGAUAGCAGGAAAGAAGUGGAAGCCAAGAAGCCGGUAUGGAGCCAAUGAGCAGUUCAGGUUUAAAAUUGAGGUGAUGAGAUGGAAUAUUACCUGUGUGCUUCGGAACAUCCAUGAGUGACAUGUGAUAGUUGCCUGGGAAACUAGAGAUGAAAUUUUAUAAGCCUUUGAAAUGCUUUACGUUUGAGAAUUAAGCUCAGCUGAAGUUUAAACAGCAUA